AUAAGACUCAUCCUCAGCGAUCAGAUUCACAUUCACAUUCAUAUCAGUGCGUUUUGCGAACCUUCCUUUAAUUCUAGGCCUCGUUUCUGCAUACGCUUUCCUUGAAGCAUAACGAAUAGUCUUCUCGAACUUUCGAUUCUUUCUCUUCUCUCUGUACCUCAAAACCCUAGCUUCCCUAUCCGCCGCCGUGAUCUGCACCGCCUCCGUCGCCGCCCUGCCGUAACAGCAGUACGAUAUCUCCGACAUCGCGUUGCCGUCCGGUACAACUCCAACCUCCAUCGACGGCGAUGAUGCCUAUAAGAAAUUCACAAUAAAAGCGCGUUUAGAUUUUAAAUCAAACAGGUUAAGUCAAUUUCUUUCUUCUCCUAUGGACAUACAAGAACAGCCCAGGUCUUGGACUAUUUUUUUCUGCAUCCUCCACUAUCUCUAUAUCUGGUUAUUGUGACUCCGAUUGAGGUUCUUGUCCCGACACUCGUCGUUCUACUUCCGAUUUUUGUUUCUUUCUUGAAAAGUCUCCCAUUUACUGGAAAAGCAAGAAACAGUAUGUGAUUUUCUCGUUCGUCCUUGACGGCAGAAUAUACGUUCGUGGCCAAUGCCACUAGUGAAGCACAAUGGCUACUAUAUUUACUCAAAGACCUUCACAUAGAUCAUCCUGCCAAGGUUACUCUACAUUGUGACAACAACUCUGCUAUAUAUAUUGUUGUUAACUCGGUGUUUCACGAGUGCACAAAACACAUAGUGAUAGAUUGUCAUGUAGAUAAAGUGAAAUCUGAAAUGUCAGUCAUGAAGACAUAUACUUAUAGGUGACAAUGUCUACCAUUGCUGAAAUUUUGAAUAAUUUUCAAAUAUAAGUCUACAAUAUACACCAAUACACCCCUCAUGCUUAUUAUUAUUGGGUUUGGUGCGUAUAUAUAAACAAUGAGUGGUCCGAUCGAGUAGGUUCAGAUACCAUCUUAAAAUUUAGGUUGGACCCUACCCAACUCCACAAAACUAGAUUAUAAGGUAAUGGGUGUCACUAUUUAUAAAUUAUAAUAGAGCUUUAUCUCUUAUCCACGUGAGAUUUGGAUUUUUCCGAUAGCUAGAAGGACUCUAUCAUUACUUGUGUCUCAUAAUGUGAUGAAAUGUGAUUAUCUAAUCUAACACAAGUGGCACGAAAAGAUUAAAUGUCUUCAUUCGUAGUCCCCAUUGUGAUUGCAGGAUUAUUGAGGAUUGCAAGGCUUUUAGUCACACGGGGGCAUAGAUCAUUAUGACUAUGUUGUGUCUACAUAUUCAUCAUCUAUGUAAAAUAAGAUCAACAAAAAGUGUGGGGUAACCUGCAGUAUUUUUCUUACGCUUAUAUUCAGUGUUACAAAAACAGAUACAGAGAUGAUUCAUUUCAACCUCUCAAAUAAGCAGCAUGAAUGCAUCAACGAAUUAAAUAUGUUUCUGACACUAUGAAUCGGUAUCACUAGAUUGGUUUUGAGAGAAUAGGUGAUUAGGAUAGUGCAAGUCCUACUGAUGCAGUCUCUUUUUUGUUUUUAAAGAAACUCUACAUAUCAUAGUAAAAAAAAAAAAUUCUAAGCGAAAAUUUAAAAUGUAUAAUUUUUUUUCUUACUGAUCUUAGUCUGUCUUUCUCCUUUCAAUAAAUUGUCACAUGAUAAUAUCUAAGUAUAACAGCGGCCCAACCACAUGAAAACAUUAUAUCCAUGUUCUGUUUGUAUUGUAUCCCCACUAUAUGCUCCAUAUGCAUAUGCGGCAAGUAGCAUUCCAACUCCUAAUAUUUGAUGGAGCAAGAGAGAUGAAUUAUGUAGAUAUGAAUAUGAGUAUGAGAAUGGAGUGCUGACUUUAUUGAUGUAUGUUAGGUACGAGAAGAAAUGGGGUCACUCACUAAAAGAAAACAUGUGCUCUCUAGGAUUUUUUGAGUUUCAUAUGUAGGUGUUGUUAUGAGAUGCCUAGAGAAGUUAUACGUUUAACAAGUAGGAGUGUUUGUUGUCCUUAAAUUUGUAAAGCGAUUUAGUAAUUAUCAAUGGAUAUUCUUCAUAUGGGUGUUUAAA
Molecule: long non-coding RNA, 2033 nt
Organism: Cicer arietinum (chickpea)
Lineage: Eukaryota; Viridiplantae; Streptophyta; Magnoliopsida; Fabales; Fabaceae
Source: RefSeq, a predicted model, not a curated record